This 856-nucleotide ribosomal RNA is filed under the name uncultured Lachnoclostridium sp. Its description in RNAcentral is "partial 16S ribosomal RNA". It matches the Rfam family "Bacterial small subunit ribosomal RNA", at positions 1 to 829 of the family's 1533-position model. The record is from RNAcentral. Lineage: Bacteria; Bacillati; Bacillota; Clostridia; Lachnospirales; Lachnospiraceae.
CGUUGGGAGCUCUCCCAUAUGGUCGNACCUGCAGGCGGCCGCGAAUUCACUAGUGAUUAACGCUGGCGGCGUGCCUAACACAUGCAAGUCGAACGAAGCAAUUAAAUGAAGUUUUCGGAUGGAAUUUGAUUGACUGAGUGGCGGACGGGUGAGUAACGCGUGGAUAACCUGCCUCACACUGGGGGAUAACAGUUAGAAAUGACUGCUAAUACCGCAUAAGCGCACAGUACCGCAUGGUACGGUGUGAAAAACUCCGGUGGUGUGAGAUGGAUCCGCGUCUGAUUAGCCAGUUGGCGGGGUAACGGCCCACCAAAGCGACGAUCAGUAGCCGACCUGAGAGGGUGACCGGCCACAUUGGGACUGAGACACGGCCCAAACUCCUACGGGAGGCAGCAGUGGGGAAUAUUGCACAAUGGGCGAAAGCCUGAUGCAGCGACGCCGCGUGAGUGAAGAAGUAUUUCGGUAUGUAAAGCUCUAUCAGCAGGGAAGAAAAUGACGGUACCUGACUAAGAAGCCCCGGCUAACUACGUGCCAGCAGCCGCGGUAAUACGUAGGGGGCAAGCGUUAUCCGGAUUUACUGGGUGUAAAGGGAGCGUAGACGGCGAAGCAAGUCUGAAGUGAAAACCCAGGGCUCAACCCUGGGACUGCUUUGGAAACUGUUUUGCUAGAGUGUCGGAGAGGUAAGUGGAAUUCCUAGUGUAGCGGUGAAAUGCGUAGAUAUUANGAGGAACACCAGUGGCNAANGCGGCUUACUGGACGAUAACUGACGUUGAGGCUCGAAAGCGUGGGGGAGCNAACAGGGAUUAGAUACCCUGNNAGUCCACGCCGUAAACGAUGAAAUGCUNGGUGUUGGGGG